Limulus polyphemus (Atlantic horseshoe crab) is the source of this 318-nucleotide long non-coding RNA. RefSeq lists it as uncharacterized. NCBI's taxonomy places the organism in Eukaryota, Metazoa, Arthropoda, Merostomata, Xiphosura, Limulidae. The transcript is spliced from 2 exons. The record is from RefSeq and is a predicted model, not a curated record.
UAAUAACACUAGUUAAUCUGCCAAGAAUCAUACAAACCAUUAUGUUCUGAAACUUCAUACUAGAGUCAAUAUGUAAAGAAUUAAGUUAAUCACUACAUUAAGAAACUUCAUCCUAGAGUCAAUCUGUAAAUAAUUAAGUUAAUCACUACAUUAAGAAACUUCAUCCUAGAGUCAAUCUGCAAAGAAUUGAGUUAAUCACUACAUUAAGAAACUUCAUACUAGAGUCAAUCUGUAAAGAAUUAAGUUAAUCACUACAUUAAGAAACUUCAUCCUAGAGUCAAUCUGUAAAGAAUUAUGUUAAUCACUACAUUAAGAAAC